This is a non-coding RNA of Myodes glareolus (Bank vole), 751 nucleotides long. The record is from RefSeq and is a predicted model, not a curated record. Lineage: Eukaryota; Metazoa; Chordata; Mammalia; Rodentia; Cricetidae.
AUUUAUUAUGCUGAUUGUUUCUCCACGCUACAAGGUAAGCACUAUAUGUACAGGAUUCUUUUUCUCAUCACAGGUACUAAGAACAGUGCCUGGUAGACAAAUGCCCACCAAAUGCCUCUAGAGCAGAUGAAUCAGCAGUCGCUUGCAUGACCAGCACCAUCAUCUAAUGGUAGAGACCCAGGGAGUUCAUGAAGGAAUCGAAGUCUUCCUGAGUCUUUUACACCAGAACACACCAUGCACAUACAAGUUCCUGAACCUCCGCUUUACCAUGAGUUUGCCAAACUCAGGCCACCGACUCAGUGACACUGGGGAGCAUGGAUGAAGCUGGCUGACUUGCUUCUAAGAUUAGACUGCGGCAGAUGAUGAGCCAACCUGCCUCCAUCUUAGGUAAAGACAUUAUAUAGUAAAGAUAAACUAGGUUCAUUUCUGUUUGUGAUUAAAUCUAUUUCUCAAAGAGUGGGCUAUGCCCCACCUAUAACCUUAACUACCAAUGGUUCUGUUCUGCUUGUUCAUGGAAAUGGCAACCAUGCCUUUGUUUCAAUAGGCUUUAUGACCGCCUUGUAACCAUGUCUUUGUUUCAGGAGGUUGUUGUGACCAACUUGUUAUGUCUGUGUUCUGCUCCUGUAACCCUGCCCGUUUGCCUGCCAAAUCCCCCAUUCUCUCCCCACCCCUAUCCGAUGUUAAUCUCUUAAACCCCACAUUUAGGGAGAGACAGUUGGUGUAUACGAAUAAAAUUGCUUGUUCUAAUGAA